AAUGAAGUUUGCUCUAUCCUUAACAAGAAUCAAGAGAUCGAGAGGCUGGAAGGUGGUCGUUUCAGGAAAAAACUGAAGAUCAAACUUUGCAAAUAUUUGAAGAACACGGGUAAAAGAUCUACGGCACUGUUGAAUCAGAUGAGCUCGAGCGAUCCAGUGGGGGAAUCGAUCCGGGGGAGGAUAGCUUCGAACGUGGCACCAUCUCAUGAGUUCAGCCGGGCGUGGCCGGAGUUAUUCACCGGUGGCCGCCGUGGCUCGGUCAAUUCCACCGCGGUGUCAUCCAUGCCUUGCUCCUCCCUUACUGUACCUCUUCUAUACGUGGUUGCCAUGCGUGAGCAAAG
This 341-nucleotide unclassified non-coding RNA is filed under the name Zea mays. RNAcentral's name for it is "misc RNA Zm00001eb383900". Lineage: Eukaryota; Viridiplantae; Streptophyta; Magnoliopsida; Poales; Poaceae. The record is from RNAcentral.